GUUACUUCGGUACAUCGGUGACAGGUGGUGCAUGGUUGUCGUCAGCUCGUGUCGUGAGAUGUUGGGUUAAGUCCCGCAACGAGCGCAACCCCUAUUGUUAGUUGCCAUCAUUCAGUUGGGCACUCUAGCGAGACUGCCGGUAAUAAACCGGAGGAAGUGGGGAUGACGUCAAAUCAUCAUGCCCCUUAUGACCUGGGCUACACACGUGCUACAAUGGUUGGUACAAAGGGCAGCGACACAGCGAUGUGAAGCCAAUCCCGAAAAGCCGGUCUCAGUCCGGAUUGGAGUCUGCAACUCGACUCCAUGAAGUUGGAAUCGCUAGUAAUCGCGGAUCAGCACGCCGCGGUGAAUACGUUCCCGGGCCUU
This 366-nucleotide ribosomal RNA is filed under the name uncultured Desulfocapsa sp. RNAcentral describes it as "bacterial SSU rRNA". It matches the Rfam family "Bacterial small subunit ribosomal RNA", at positions 1014 to 1382 of the family's 1533-position model. Lineage: Bacteria; Pseudomonadati; Thermodesulfobacteriota; Desulfobulbia; Desulfobulbales; Desulfocapsaceae. The record is from RNAcentral.